CUCACCCCUACCUCUACGUGACCCCUCCCCUCUAUCUUAUUUUUUUGUCCACAAAGAAAAGGCCCACAGGAACUUUCGAGAAAAAAAGGAGAGGACCACUUUAAAGAUGGUUUGGUCUUUCCAAUUCAGAAAAAAAAAAAAUCCAAUUUGGUUUUCUAGAAAAGGAGAACAAGACGAGAGGCCCACAGGGAGGGGGGAGGAUCAUCUUCCAUUUUUAUUUCCAUUAAAAAGGAACACACACGUGGACAGAGAGAGGGGGAGAGCUGCGAGAGAGGAAGAGAGAGGUGCGAGAGAGUGAGAGAGCAACUGAACGCGCGAGAGAGAGAAAAAAUGGUGACAAUAUCGAAAACGUGAUCUGUCCUGUGUUCUUGGCCGGAAGUAACAGCCCCUCAUCGGAAAAACAUUGUUGUCAUCCAUUUUUUUCUUGUUUCAGUCAGCGUUGGAGCUCACCGGAGUUCUAACGGGACGAUAGUUGUGGAUUCCGACCCUAGCCUGAUCCGAAUCAGUCAAGUUUAACCAGUUUUGGGUUGGAUUCUGGCAAUUUUUUGCCGGACAUCGUCACACAGGUUCUUGGUUUUCUUUUAGAAAGUUUUUGGGUUCAGGCUGUUUGGUUUUUUUUUGUUCGGGUUGGAGAGAAAACAGAACGAAAGGGUGAAACUGAACGUUGGUCAGUUCGUGUUUGAGGUUUGAAUCGAUGGUUCUGAAUCCACGAAGCUCCUCUAUUUGAUUGAAUCAAAGAAACAUUAAGUGUGCUUGUUUGAGUGUUUUAGGAAUCUGUGUUGAUGCACAAAGGCAUUGGUUUUUCAUCAUUAAAAGGGGAAAAUUUGUUAGGAUCUAUGAAGUUUUGAUGAUUGCCAAAUGAAUGAAACAGAUUGCUUAAGAUAUUCCACCCAUAUGGUCCAAUGAUAUACUGCUCAAAAUUAUUGAUAUAUGAAGACAAGGUUGCUUGAAUUCAGGAACAGAUUAGCAUGCAUCUUCUGGUAGAUGAACAUAACGUAUGUUAAGAAAGAAGUUAAGUUUGAUUGUAACACUUGAAGAUAAGAGGAUUUUAAGUUGAACAAGGGGUUUUACCUCAACAAAGAGAUCAACUUCAAGAAGGACUUCUACUUCAAAACAAACACUGAAGAAUGGAGAGUUUCACUGGAGAUAGAAGUCAUAUAUGAUAAAGGACUCUUUAGAGAGUCGUGUUUAAAUAGAGGGAGUGACUCGCAUAGACACUUAUGCAUUUACAAAGCAAAAGGCAACUGGAAAAUUGACUGAGAAGUUCACAACUUGAAGAAACACAUAGGUGAACCUGGUUCUUGUACUUGAAUACUAAGGUGUCUUAGUUUCUAUGUAUAGGUUGGUUCUUGAGUUGUAAUAUUAAUGUAAUUUUAGUUUCAAUGAAGUAUAAACUGAAGUAGGACUAUUGUCAUCAAGUUUAGGAACACUUAUCUUGGGUGGUUGGUGUGUUUUGAAGUAGGAAUUAGAGUUUAUAAUUCCUAGAUUACAUAGUCUUGUAAUUUAUUGUUUGUUGAGGCUCAAAGUUAUUUAGUGACGUUUGGGGUAAAAUCCUAUAGAGGUACAGGUUGUGAUUUUUCA
Long non-coding RNA from Capsicum annuum, 1581 nucleotides. RefSeq lists it as uncharacterized. The record is from RefSeq and is a predicted model, not a curated record. The transcript has 2 exons. Lineage: Eukaryota; Viridiplantae; Streptophyta; Magnoliopsida; Solanales; Solanaceae.